This 492-nucleotide ribosomal RNA is filed under the name uncultured bacterium. RNAcentral's name for it is "partial 16S ribosomal RNA". It matches the Rfam family "Bacterial small subunit ribosomal RNA", at positions 29 to 507 of the family's 1533-position model. The record is from RNAcentral.
AGUGAACGCUGGCGGUAGGCCUAACACAUGCCAGUCGAACGGCAGCACAGUAAGAGCUUGCUCUUACGGGUGGCGAGUGGCGGACGGGUGAGGAAUACAUCGGAAUCUACUUUUUCGUGGGGGAUAACGUAGGGAAACUUACGCUAAUACCGCAUACGACCUACGGGUGAAAGCAGGGGAUCUUCGGACCUUGCGCGAUUGAAUGAGCCGAUGUCGGAUUAGCUAGUUGGCGGGGUAAAGGCCCACCAAGGCGACGAUCCGUAGCUGGUCUGAGAGGAUGAUCAGCCACACUGGAACUGAGACACGGUCCAGACUCCUACGGGAGGCAGCAGUGGGGAAUAUUGGACAAUGGGCGCAAGCCUGAUCUAGCCAUACCGCGUGGGUGAAGAAGGCCUUCGGGUUGUAAAGCCCUUUUGUUGGGAAAGAAAAGCAGCAGGUUAAUACCCCGCUGUUCUGACGGUACCCAAAGAAUAAGCACCGGCUAACUUCGUG